CGCGAUUCCGCCGUGCCGCCUCCUUGCCCGAAAUGUCAAGGUAGGUUCCCGCAACGGGAGGGCUUCUCUUGUAGAGCCUUGAUUCCAGACGGUAUUCUAUACCCACACGCCAAGCGGUCCAACGACGAUUUUACUUCUUUUUCCCCCUGAUAGGCCCAAUGCGAUCGAAGGCUUCCCGGGACAACGUCCUACGUUUUACUUACAGGUGCCGCAGCACCAGCGGCCCUGCAAGAAUGCCACCGGCACCCAAAAAAAAGGAGGGAGCAGUGCAGCGGGUCUCUGUAGCCUCUCAGCAACACGUUUUUCGACCGUGUACACAUCCCACUGGUAAAGGUAAGAAACCUCCGCCAGCCAGCGUGCUCUGUCUGCAGAUGGGCACGCCGCACUCCAGGUCUCAUCGGGCCUCCGUGCCGAUGUUUCCCCGCCUCCCGCUAAUUGUGUUGCCUUCUUAUGAUUUC
RNAcentral lists this long non-coding RNA (458 nucleotides) under Androctonus crassicauda. Lineage: Eukaryota; Metazoa; Arthropoda; Arachnida; Scorpiones; Buthidae. The record is from RNAcentral.